RNAcentral lists this ribosomal RNA (307 nucleotides) under uncultured bacterium. Its description in RNAcentral is "partial 16S ribosomal RNA". It matches the Rfam family "Bacterial small subunit ribosomal RNA", at positions 524 to 830 of the family's 1533-position model. The record is from RNAcentral.
UACGGAGGGGGCUAGCGUUGUUCGGAAUUACUGGGCGUAAAGCGUGCGCAGGCGGUUUUGUAAGUCUGUCGUGAAAUCCCCGGGCUCAACCUGGGAAUUGCGAUGGAGACUGCAAGGCUAGAAUCUGGCAGAGGGGGUAGAAUUCCACGUGUGAGCAGUGAAAUGCGUAGAGAUGUGGAGGAACACCGAUGGCGAAGGCAGCCCCCUGGGUCGAAAGAUUGACGUCUCAUGCACGAAAGCGUGGGGAGCAAACAGGAUUAGGUAAACCCUGUAGUCCGAGACCAAGUUCGUACUGCAUGACCGUAAC